UGCAGUCGAGGGGCAGCAUGAUUGAAGCUUGCUUCAUUGAUGGCGACCGGCGCACGGGUGAGUAACACGUAUCCAACCUGCCGAUAACUCGGGGAUAGCCUUUCGAAAGAAAGAUUAAUACCCGAUAGUAUAGUAUUUCCGCAUGGUUUCACUAUUAAAGAAUUUCGGUUAUCGAUGGGGAUGCGUUCCAUUAGAUAGUUGGCGGGGUAACGGCCCACCAAGUCAACGAUGGAUAGGGGUUCUGAGAGGAAGGUGAUUUGAUUGGAACUGACACNCCGUCCAAACUCCUACGGGAGGC
This 298-nucleotide ribosomal RNA is filed under the name Bacteroides eggerthii. Its description in RNAcentral is "partial 16S ribosomal RNA". It matches the Rfam family "Bacterial small subunit ribosomal RNA", at positions 60 to 349 of the family's 1533-position model. The record is from RNAcentral. Lineage: Bacteria; Pseudomonadati; Bacteroidota; Bacteroidia; Bacteroidales; Bacteroidaceae.